RNAcentral lists this ribosomal RNA (235 nucleotides) under uncultured bacterium. RNAcentral's name for it is "partial 16S ribosomal RNA". It matches the Rfam family "Bacterial small subunit ribosomal RNA", at positions 99 to 334 of the family's 1533-position model. The record is from RNAcentral.
CGGACGGGUGAGUAACGCGUGGGUAACCUACCCUGUACACACAGAUAACAUACCGAAAGGUAUGCUAAUACGGGAUAAUAUAUUUGAGAGGCAUCUCUUGAAUAUCAAAGGUGAGCCAGUACAGGAUGGACCCGCGUCUGAUUAGCUAGUUGGUAAGGUAACGGCUUACCAAGGUGACGAUCAGUAGCCGACCUGAGAGGGUGAUCGGCCACAUUGGAACUGAGACACGGUCCAA